GGACCAAACUAGUGUAGAUUAGAUUUUCAUAUUGUUUCACUGAAUAAAAAAGAAAUACACAUACAAGUUUAAGGAAGUAUUUAAGAAGGCUGCUCACAUCCACCUUAUAGCUGAGAUGGAGGAGUCACAGGAUCGAUAUAAACAGUUAGCGCUUGGGGUACAAACAAUUCUUGAAUGUCCAGUGUGCUUUGGGAAGAUGGAUUCUACAUUAAGACAAUGCAUUAACGGACAUGGAGUAUGCAGACCAUGUGCUUCAAAGAUUGACAAAUGUCCAACUUGUAGGGAGGACUUCUCCCUGGCACUUCAACAGAACACUUUGUUGAAUCAAUUACUAGAUUUGAUUCCUAAGCUUUGCCCCUAUGCUGAGAAAGGUUGUGACUCAGUGAUCAUAGGUCAGGAGCAUCAGACUUACUGUGAAUAUCGACCAACUGAGUGUAAAGUUUUGUUGUGUAAGUGGAAUGGGCGUGUCAAAGACUUACUUGAACACUUAAAAUGUAGUCAUGAGACUAGGAUUAUUAAUGUUAAUUUAAAUGUAAAAUAUUUAAAAGCAUACGUAUUAAAUUGUUUCAUGACAAAGGAAACUUAUUAUUCGCCAAUUAUAUGCCAAAAUCAAAUUUUUUGGAAGUGCAUUUAUUUAAAAGGUCAUAUAAAUCAUACCUACCAUCGAUUAUAUUCUGUUCCAACAAUUAAGAAAUCUUGUGAUUACUACAUGGUAAUAUCAUUUGAAAGAGGUGAUUUAAAAUUUGAGCAUUAUUGCAAAGCGGCAAACUUAGAUGAUCAAAUUGAACCUGAAAAUGAAAGUGGUCUUAUCAUUCCUGUUUGUGAGUUGAACAAAUUUUUGGAGGAAGGAACACAAGAUUCCUACUAUUACAACCUGAAAUUGGUGAAAGAAAACAUUUCAUAGAUUCAGGUGUCAUGACAAAGCAAAAUGUAUAAUUAAGGAUGAUAAAGAUAAUUAAAAAAAAUGUUGUUUGACAUCACAAGAUAAAGUAAAUGAAUCCAGUACAACAAUGGAAACACACUCUAACUUGGCUCCUUGUUUAGUCCAAUCAAAGUGUAGUCAAAGACUGCAUGCAUCGUUGUAAUAAAAUGUUUCAAUAUUC
Macrosteles quadrilineatus (aster leafhopper) is the source of this 1103-nucleotide long non-coding RNA. RefSeq lists it as uncharacterized. NCBI's taxonomy places the organism in Eukaryota, Metazoa, Arthropoda, Insecta, Hemiptera, Cicadellidae. The record is from RefSeq and is a predicted model, not a curated record. The transcript is spliced from 2 exons.